CCUACGGGGGGCUGCAGUGGGGAAUAUUCCACAAUGGGCGAAACCCUGAUGGAGCGACGCCGCGUGAGUGAAGAAGUAUUUCGGUACGUAAAGCUCUAUCAGCAGGGAAGAAAAUGACGGUACCUGACUAAGCAGCCCCGGCUAACUACGUACCAGCAGCCGCGGUAAUACGUAGGGGGCAAGCGUUCUCCGGAUUUACUGGGUGGAAAGGGAGCGUAGACGGCCAGACAAGUCAGAAGUGAAAGCCCAGGGCUCAACCCUGGGGCUGCAUUUGAAACUGCGGGGCUGGAGUGCAGGAGAGGUAAGCGGAAUUCCAAGUGUAGCGGUGAAAUGCGUAGAUAUUAGGAGGAACACCAGUGGCGAAGGCGGCUUACUGGACUGUAACUGACGUUGAGGCUCGAAAGCGUGGGGAGCAAACAGGAUUAGAUACCCCUGUAGUC
This 440-nucleotide ribosomal RNA is filed under the name uncultured bacterium. Its description in RNAcentral is "partial 16S ribosomal RNA". It matches the Rfam family "Bacterial small subunit ribosomal RNA", at positions 338 to 795 of the family's 1533-position model. The record is from RNAcentral.